AGAACGAACGCUGGCGGCAUGCCUAAUACAUGCAAGUCGAACGAGAUCUUCGGAUCUAGUGGCGCACGGGUGCGUAACGCGUGGGAAUCUACCCUUGGGUUCGGAAUAACAGUUGGAAACGACUACUAAUACCGGAUGAUGACGAAAGUCCAAAGAUUUAUCGCCCAAGGAUGAGCCCGCGUAGGAUUAGCUAGUUGGUGAGGUAAAGGCUCACCAAGGCUACGAUCCUUAGCUGGUCUGAGAGGAUGAUCAGCCACACUGGGACUGAGACACGGCCCAGACUCCUACGGGAGGCAGCAGUAGGGAUAUUGGA
This 313-nucleotide ribosomal RNA is filed under the name uncultured soil bacterium. RNAcentral's name for it is "bacterial SSU rRNA". It matches the Rfam family "Bacterial small subunit ribosomal RNA", at positions 26 to 368 of the family's 1533-position model. The record is from RNAcentral.